AUACUUACCUGGCAGGGGAGAUACCAUGAUCAUGAAGGUGGUUUUCCCAGGGCGAGGCUUAUCCAUUGCACUCCGGAUGUGCUGACCCCUGCGAUUUCCCCAAAUGUGGGAAACUCGACUGCAUAAUUUGUGGUAGUGGGGGACUGCGUUUGUGCUCUCCCCUG
This is a small nuclear RNA of Oryctolagus cuniculus (rabbit), 164 nucleotides long. Its record names the gene U1. It matches the Rfam family "U1 spliceosomal RNA". From Rfam's summary of the family: U1 is a small nuclear RNA (snRNA) component of the spliceosome (involved in pre-mRNA splicing). Its 5' end forms complementary base pairs with the 5' splice junction, thus defining the 5' donor site of an intron. There are significant differences in sequence and secondary structure between metazoan and yeast U1 snRNAs, the latter being much longer (568 nucleotides as compared to 164 nucleotides in human). The record is from Ensembl. Lineage: Eukaryota; Metazoa; Chordata; Mammalia; Lagomorpha; Leporidae.